GAUGAACGCUGGCGGCGUGCCUAAUACAUGCAAGUCGAGCGAACAGACGAGGAGCUUGCUCCUCUGACGUUAGCGGCGGACGGGUGAGUAACACGUGGAUAACCUACCUAUAAGACUGGGAUAACUUCGGGAAACCGGAGCUAAUACCGGAUAAUAUAUUGAACCGCAUGGUUCAAUAGUGAAAGACGGUUUUGCUGUCACUUAUAGAUGGAUCCGCGCCGCAUUAGCUAGUUGGUAAGGUAACGGCUUACCAAGGCAACGAUGCGUAGCCGACCUGAGAGGGUGAUCGGCGACACUGGAACUGAGACACGGUCCAGACUCCUACGGGAGGCAGCAGUAGGGAAUCUUACGCAAUGGGCGAAAGCCUGACGGAGCAACGCCGCGUGAGUGAUGAAGGUCUUCGGAUCGUAAAACUCUGUUAUUAGGGAAGAACAAAUGUGUAAGUAACUAUGCACGUCUUGACGGUACCUAAUCAGAAAGCCACGGCUAACUACGUG
This 497-nucleotide ribosomal RNA is filed under the name uncultured bacterium. RNAcentral describes it as "partial 16S ribosomal RNA". It matches the Rfam family "Bacterial small subunit ribosomal RNA", at positions 28 to 507 of the family's 1533-position model. The record is from RNAcentral.